Long non-coding RNA from Callithrix jacchus (white-tufted-ear marmoset), 1177 nucleotides. RefSeq lists it as uncharacterized. Lineage: Eukaryota; Metazoa; Chordata; Mammalia; Primates; Cebidae. The record is from RefSeq and is a predicted model, not a curated record.
AUAAAAGUGAAAUUUAGAGAAAUGCACACCUAAAACAGAUUGUAGGGGGCCUACAAGGGUUGGCUGAAACAGGAUUUCCCAGGAUCCAUCUGUGCUUAUUCUUUUCUAGCUUAGGGAGUAUUUGGAACAGGACCUGUAGCCUGAUAGACAUUCAACAAACAGCAGCUGCCAUUACUGUCAUGGAUCACUUGGUGGCCUCAAUUCUACUUUGGAGGUAUAGUGGCAGAAUAUACUAAACAUCAUCUUAGGAUUCCAGAAACCGCAUGUAUCCCAACUUCCUCUUCCUAAUUGGUUCGAUAUAGACAAGUUACUGAACUUCUCUGAGACCCAAUUUUCUAAUCUAGAAAAUGGAGGAAAUACCUGUCCUGUAUGUCUACAUAUUACCCAGGAUUUUAGCAAGGUGUCCUGGACUCCAGCUGUGUUCAGCCUUCAUCAGAGCCAGAUAUAGUUGGAGGCAGUAACAUGGUGACACAUCAAAAUCAAGUCUCCAGAAGCUGAAUCUGAACAACACAAGGAACAAGUAUCCCAGAAGGUAAAAUGCUUAUUACAUUAUUCUGGAUUCUCCAUUCAUAUUGAAGAACAGAGCCUAAUAUUCUGCGUUAUGUUCGUAGUCGUAUUUGUGAUCAUAUCAUUAGUAGGGGAAGAAGAGAAGAGAAUCCAUGUGUUAGCAUUCAGUUAGGUAAGUAGAGCUACUAUGAGUGAUAUGGAAUAAGGGGAUGUAAGAAGAAAUUAGACCAUCCACAAUUGUGGAAGCCAAUGAAAAUGUCUAUGAAAAUUGCCUCUCUGUCUGGUAGGAGCUUGAAAUGCUGUAAAUCUUCAGAGCCAGUAGUUAGGAAGAAAACCUGGACACAAAGUUGAAAACAGUGAGGAUAAACUGUAAUCCAUAAGGACCGAAUGUAAACAGCAUCUGUCUUUGAAUGCCUACAACCUUGCUGACUUCAGCAAUCUGCAAAAAGGUGGCACCCUUACACCUGGCUUAGGACUCAAAAAAACUGAAAGACAGACUUGGUGGAAGCUGGAAGAGCUAUGGAUCCAAAUGCUUCCCCACACCAGCAAGAUGAGCCAGCAGAUUAAUAAAGCUAUCCGUGCUCUACAAUGGCCCCUGGCCCUAUAUCUAUGUUCAGAGCUCAAUAGCUGCUGCUUCACUUUUGCCUUCCAAAUCUCAUGCAAAUUUCUU